Molecule: ribosomal RNA, 253 nt
Filed under: uncultured bacterium
Lineage: Bacteria
Description: partial 16S ribosomal RNA
Rfam family: Bacterial small subunit ribosomal RNA
Source: RNAcentral
UACGAAGGGGACUAGCGUUGUUCGGAAUCACUGGGCGUAAAGCGCACGUAGGCGGAUUUGUAAGUCAGGGGUGAAAUCCCGGGGCUCAACCUCGGAACUGCCUUUGAUACUGCGAAUCUUGAGUCCGAUAGAGGCGGGUGGAAUUCCUAGUGUAGAGGUGAAAUUCGUAGAUAUUAGGAAGAACACCGGUGGCGAAGGCGGCCCACUGGAUCGGUACUGACGCUGAGGUGCGAAAGCGUGGGGAGCAAACAGG